Molecule: ribosomal RNA, 260 nt
Filed under: uncultured bacterium
Lineage: Bacteria
Description: partial 16S ribosomal RNA
Rfam family: Bacterial small subunit ribosomal RNA
Source: RNAcentral
GUCCACGCCGUAAACGAUGUCUACUAGCCGUUGGGUUCCUUGAGGACUUAGUGGCGCAGCUAACGCAAUAAGUAGACCGCCUGGGGAGUACGGUCGCAAGAUUAAACUCAAAUGAAUUGACGGGGCCCGCACAAGCGGUGGAGCAUGUGGUUAAUUCGACGCAACGCGAAGAACCUUACCAGGUCUUGACAUCCAGAGAACUUUCCAGAGAUGGGAUUGGUGCCUUGGGAACUCUCAGACAGGUGCUGCAUGGCUGUCGU